CGCCGGAAGUGGUUCACUGGCCAUGGUGAUGAGCUAGCCUACUCCCCCGUACAGUUUUCAAUUAGAUGCGAACGGUUUCGACUGUGAACGGCGACUAGCGGGCGGCGAUCGGCGGGUGGGCUCGAUGGUGCGGUGCUCGGCGGGGGAUUCACUCGCUUCCCUGUCCAUCUCCCUCCCGUCCUCUCGUGUGACCUGGUGGCCUACAAUGGCGGCGGGGGCGGAGCGUACUACGAUUUCGACUGCGGUGGCGACCCCUCCCAAAUCCACCCCACUGUUGUGUCAGCGAAGGCUCCUGUGACAGCCAAUUUCACCGGAGAAUACGUCUGUGACAGCCCUCCUCUGUAAUGGCGGUACUGCAAAAAGGGGCUUCUGAUGGGGGAGAUCAAGAAGAGGUUGUACCUUGUCCAUGGAAAUGGGAUGGCACCAUGUCAAUGGAGGAAAAGAAUGCCAUGUCAAUGGCAAAGAGGAAGAGGAGCAAAAGGCUCCUGAGGAGGAGGAAGAACACAAGACAAGAUUAUCUUAUUUGAUCCAGCCAAGGGUUACUCGAAUGGCUAGACAUGGCUAUAGGCUCUCGAGUAAACUGGGCACUGACCUGCAAAAGCUGCGUUGCAAUAAAUUACCUUUGUAUUAGAUUUACUGAUCUAAUACAGUUUAUCAAUUUAAGUUCUCCCCUCAUCUUCUUUGUUGCAACUUGCAACUCUGGAUUUCUUUAAGUACAAGUUUUAGACCAUCCACAAAGUAUAACAUCCAAAACUCCCUCAAAAUAUGACACUUACCUGACUUCUUUCAUGACAACAGGAAACAUACUUAUAGACAACUCAAAUACAAAAGUGUGAUCACAGAUUGAAAAAUUAUCUUUAAUUGUUUGCCGCUCCCAAAUUCUCCUCAUGGAGAACCAAUAUUUCAACAUUUCCAUUUUCAGGUUAUUCCCUGCAUAUAUUCGUUUGGAAAGAAUGAAGGAUGGUUUUUAUGGUAGUUCAGCUAAUGCCAUUAAAAUUUAGUGAUUAGUAUUUAACUGCCUCUCAGAUCCAGCCAUUACAAUUUUUAUCCAGUCUCCCUUUUGAUCCAGCCAUGACAACAUUUCGAUGUGCUCUUGUGUCUUGAUGGAAGAACAUGGUAUGAAGCAAUGGUGUCCCCAUGCAUAACAAAUCAAUUGGUUUAAACUACAGAUCUUUCUAUUAGUGCAUAAUGCAGAAACGAUGUACGUAUUGUUUUUCUGUACUUGUAAAAGAACUUGUCAUGUUCCUCUGAUUAUUUCAGGUGUUUGCUUUUACAAGUCAAUCAGUACGUAUGAUUUGAGGGAUUAUAUUAGAUAUAGUGAAUCAGAAAUAUGUUUAAGUUCAAUUUAAUUUUUAGAUCAUAUAACUUGUCUCAUAUUUCUGAAAUGAGCAAUCUUAUUCUUCAACUUGCAGAUUUUGUACCGGCUAAAUGUUAUUUUCUUUGGCAAGUUCUUGUACUGUUUCCUAAUUCUCACGGAGAUGUUGUGGUUUCUUGCUGAUCCAGUUCCAAAAGAAUGUAUAUAUCUCCAUCUAGUGUUGUUUCUUGCUGUGGUUUGCUUAAAUAUUUUUCUUCAGUUAUGUAAUCUGUUCUCCUUUUCCUUGUGUGGCUGGCCAUUUUUUUAGAAAACAGGCACAAUAAGCGCCCGACUUUAAAUUAUUAAAGCAAAGAACGGCCAGAGUACCACAUUGUUGAACAGAACAAAACGGAAAAGCUGGCCACUGGCACACUUGGGAAAGCUUAUCAUUAUUAUAGAUGGUCCUUCCCAGUUCUCUACGCGUGUUGUUAUCUUGUUGGGAAGCAGGGCAGGGAUGGAACAAGACAACAACAUAUUGCUUCAUAUUUGAUUUUAUUCGACUCGCUUUUUGCUUCAUGUCUUAACCUCCUUUGAGCACCUGUUGGUUCCAUUUUGUGCAGCUGCUGAUGUAAAGGAAUGCAGUGCUAAGCAAAGCGAUAUGAUCAUCAUAUCAAGUGGGCAUCGAUGCCAUUAUGUAGUUUCUCUUGUCAGGGUAUACCACGUGCGGAUUAUAAUUAUCUCAUUUGAAUUGUAUGCACACAAAGCUUCACAUGUUAGUACUGGUAUAUACAAAGACUGUACUCUAUGGUGGCCUAUUUGUGAUGCUGCAUGAUUUUCUAGGCACAUUAAGCCUUCUUUGCGAUUCCCUUACAAUCACCUCGGAACAUGCUUGUUGCUAAUGAAAA
This is a long non-coding RNA of Triticum aestivum (bread wheat), 2199 nucleotides long. RefSeq lists it as uncharacterized. The record is from RefSeq and is a predicted model, not a curated record. NCBI's taxonomy places the organism in Eukaryota, Viridiplantae, Streptophyta, Magnoliopsida, Poales, Poaceae. The transcript has 3 exons.